GAACGCUGUCGGCGUGCCUAAUACAUGCAAGUAGAACGCUGAGGAUUGGUGCUUGCACUAAUCCAAGGAGUUGCGAACGGGUGAGUAACGCGUAGGUAACCUACCUCAUAGCGGGGGAUAACUAUUGGAAACGAUAGCUAAUACCGCAUGACACUAGAGUACACAUGUACUCAAGUUAAAAGGAGCAAUUGCUUCACUAUGAGAUGGACCUGCGUUGUAUUAGCUAGUUGGUGAGGUAAAGGCUCACCAAGGCGACGAUACAUAGCCGACCUGAGAGGGUGAUCGGCCACACUGGGACUGAGACACGGCCCAGACUCCUACGGGAGGCAGCAGUAGGGAAUCUUCGGCAAUGGACGGAAGUCUGACCGAGCAACGCCGCGUGAGUGAAGAAGGUUUUCGGAUCGUAAAGCUCUGUUGUUAGAGAAGAACGGUAAUGGGAGUGGAAAAUCCAUUACGUGACGGUAACUAACCAGAAAGGGACGGCUAACUACGUGCCAGCAGCCGCGGUAAUACGUAGGUCUCGAGCGUUGUCCGGAUUUAUUGGGCGUAAAGCGAGCGCAGGCGGUUCUAUAAGUCUGAAGUAAAAGGCAGUGGCUCAACCAUUGUAUGCUUUGGAAACUGUAGAACUUGAGUGCAGAAGGGGAGAGUGGAAUUCCAUGUGUAGCGGUGAAAUGCGUAGAUAUAUGGAGGAACACCGGUGGCGAAAGCGGCUCUCUGGUCUGUAACUGACGCUGAGGCUCGAAAGCGUGGGGAGCAAACAGGAUUAGAUACCCUGGUAGUCCACGCCGUAAACGAUGAGUGCUAGGUGUUAGGCCCUUUCCGGGGCUUAGUGCCGCAGCUAACGCAUAAUGCACUCCGC
RNAcentral lists this ribosomal RNA (859 nucleotides) under Streptococcus iniae. RNAcentral's name for it is "bacterial SSU rRNA". It matches the Rfam family "Bacterial small subunit ribosomal RNA", at positions 31 to 872 of the family's 1533-position model. Lineage: Bacteria; Bacillati; Bacillota; Bacilli; Lactobacillales; Streptococcaceae. The record is from RNAcentral.